CCAAUUAUCUGCUUAACUCCAAGUCAGUGAAUUCCCCAGUGCUUCCGAGACAAACAAUAGAUAGUAUAAAGACUUUUGGCAGUUGACAGUUCCAUUUGGCUAGGGUUUGUAGCAAAUCCUUCUUAAAACUAAAGCUAUAUUUUUACAAAAUAAAAGCAACUAGCUGAGUUAAUUUCAAGCAGUCACUCAAGAUGUUUGCUUGAUGCAUUAGAAAACCAACUUUUGAAGGAUGUUUGAAUUCUCAUCCCUUUGGACACUACAUGGACACAUGCUCAGAAGAAGUGGAAAAAAUUUUCAUCUUUGCAUUUCUCAUGUUGAUUUUGCUUUUGUGGAAAAGGUGGUGUGCUCCUGCCUCAACAUGGGGGGAAUAAUCUUCAGGUGGCCCUCCUCAGCCUGUUUCAUGACUUCAAUCAUGUCAAUGUUGGCCUCUACCUACCUGUGGGCCUACCUGGACAAAAGGAAAUGACUGGACAGCAUCUCAGGAGCAGUAAUGCUCUGUUACCUCCUCUCGAAUAAGCUCAAGCAUGCUGAAUUUCUGUGAAAAAUCCAGCAAGAAUAAGGAUCAGCUGCAACAGAUAACAAAGGGCUGAUUUGGGGCCCAAGCAGAGCCAAUGAGUGGCCACUUCAUGGUCAGUUUACUUCAGUUGUCUUAACCACUGAAUUGUUGCCAACUUGCAAAGAUAAGAUGAAUUGCGAGGAGAGUAACUUGCAAAUAGCCAAGCCAGUCAGCCAUACAGACACAGACAGAGUAAAAAUGGAGGUCAUCUAUUCACACUCAUCUGGCAAGGGAUGAAGGGUUUUGCAACUCGAGAUCAUUUAUAUGAAAUGAACUUCAUGCUGAAAGGAAGAAGCAAAUAGCUUCUUAGACAAGGGCACUGAAAUUUGGAAUUUAUUCUGAAAGGAGGCUUGGAGACUAUCUAGUCUAGUCACUUUUCGUUAUAGAAGAAACUGAGGAAAAGGGAGAUAAAUAAAUUAGCCAUCAUCACUGGAGUUAAGGUGAGAGCCACUAAUAGAGUUUGGGAUUCCAUCUUCCAGUUCAAUAUCAAUACAAUAUGCAAAGGAAAAGUCCUUUCAAAAAUUUUUUUUUUUGGUACCGGGUUUUGAACUUGGGUUCUUGUGCUUGUGAGGCAGGCGGCGGAACCACCGAGCUAAAUCCCGGCCCAAAAUUUCUUUUUUUAAAGUUACAUUGGAGGAAGUUAUAUAUUCUAUCUACCCCAAGGCCAGUGAGAAUUGAUUAAUGAAUGUGUAAAAAAGGAGGGACAUACUAGCCUCCCAAGGAUGUAACAUUAAUAUCCCCUAGACACAAGAACAGAAGAGGGGCAUAGGAAGAGUGUCUACUUCUUGGUAGAGAAGAUGGCCAGUGUUCAGUUUGCCUUUUAGAAUUAAACACCUUGUACCUUCCUUGUACUUAUAUAUACAUAAACUUUUUCUUAAAAAUCUUAACAUCCCAGGUUUACCAAAGAGGAAAACAAGGUUGCAAAAGUUUCAUGGAUAUCUUGGAGCUUUUAUUUAAAUUAAAUAUUAUACUUCACUUAAGUGCUAAUAAUCUUUCUGAGCAGUUGAUUUCAUGAUGUCUAGUAGGCAGAAUUGGGAAGUCUGUGGCUCUACUGUUUUGCCAGAAUUAAUUAGGCAGAGUGUCCUCAACAGUUGUAGGUUAACCCUAGUUCAUGACUUCAUAACACAUUUUCCAAAAAGUACUUUGGCUUUGUAUAUUUAUUCCCAUAAUACUCAACUUGCAUAAUCAGAAAAUAAGAAAAAGAUCAACAAACAAAGACAAUAAGCAAAAUAGCCCCCAAAAGUAAAUACUACCCUUCAUUGUCCAUGUACUUUUCCUUUUUUCUUUUCUUAUUAUGCAAUAUUCAAACUUCUUCCAAUUGUUAGUUGCUUGGAAAAAUUACAAAACAAAAAUAUUUGAAAUUGUACUUAUUUUUAAAAAUUAUAACAAGCAUUGUGUGAAAUAGUAUGUGUUUAAAUUUUAAAGUUUAUGAAUUUACUUCUAUUACCUUUUUCUUAACAAAGCUAGGUACUCAGUUAUAUUUGUGUUCCUCAUGUGGCUUAAGAACCUUAAUUUAAAAUUGUCAAAGGGAUCAGAAUGGUUGAUUAAUACCUUUAAAAGGAAAGUCAUUAUUUUCUUCUGAUAACUAUUACUAUAGGACUGGAGGUUUUAAGAAUAAACAAUAGCAAUAACAAAAGAAAACACAGGAAUGAUUUUUACAGCUAUGUUGCUGUAACUGCAUUUAUCGUGUCAGAAUGCUAUCAGUGAUAAUGUCUUACUGAAUAAGCAGGUAGUUCACCCGAUCUCCAUCUCCACAGCACCUAAUAAAUACUGCAGGCACACAGAUAAAUCUCAUUUUGUGUUCUGCUUGGUCACAAGAAAGAAUUAGAUUGUGUUGUUCUAAGGAGUAGGAGGAUAUAUAUCCAUUGUCAUCAUCCAUAAAAAUUACUUUAAGUCGAACCACUAUGAGCUUGUUGGACACAUGCAAAAUCUAGAUACCAUAUUUUAGUCCAUUUUAUGUUGCCCUGAAAAAUUUUUUUUCCUAUAUCUCAGUGUGAUUUGCACCAGACCUUUAGAAAUGAGAUGAAAUUUUUAGACUUUCUUCCUGAGGAGCAUAUUGCAAAAUAGAAAUAUUGACUUUAUUUCAUUCAGGCAAAAUUGGUUAUUUAUUUUUACUUAUGACCAUUAUAAAAUAGGACUGAGCUGGCUAGUUAUGAUCAAAUAAGAAUGAUCUAUAAUAUUUCCCUGGUUACUGAAUAGAACCCAAACCAUAUUAAGGUCAGUGAUGUUAGAUAAUUUCCCAGCACUGAAAAGAGGCAAUAGGAUGAACAUUACUUUGGACAGCGUGUCUAAAUCACAGUGGUAGAACUUCAGUCAUGCAUGCUCUUCUAAUAGGAACACAAAAGAAUCAGUCUCAUUUCAGACAUGAUAAUAAUGUGGACUUAGACGGCCAUAAUACACUUGUAAUUAUUUUUCAGUCGGUUGGCUAAUUUGAUGAUUCCUAGAAUGAAACAGUCUACCAGCUCUAUAUUUAGCAGACACACACACACACACACACACACACACUCACACAGAGUCACAACUGAAAUAAAGCAGUAUAUUAGUGUCAAGUUUCUUUGACUUUCAACAAUCUAAAGGACAAUGAAACAAAUUGUGUAAAAUGAAGUUUUAUACAUAUUCAUAGACCAUUUAUAGCCUAUCAUAUUUUAUAAUUUAACACCUUAAAAUUCAAGAUGAAGAG
Long non-coding RNA from Heterocephalus glaber (naked mole-rat), 3236 nucleotides. The record is from Ensembl. NCBI's taxonomy places the organism in Eukaryota, Metazoa, Chordata, Mammalia, Rodentia, Bathyergidae.